Molecule: small nucleolar RNA, 138 nt
Organism: Tachyglossus aculeatus (Australian echidna)
Lineage: Eukaryota; Metazoa; Chordata; Mammalia; Monotremata; Tachyglossidae
Source: RefSeq, a predicted model, not a curated record
UCCCGAUCAGGGUCGCACCUGGAGAGUUUCCAAUACUCUAUCAGUAUCCACUACAGGAGGAAGAGUCAAGCAGAGGCCUAUCCAUUCCAUUCCUAGCUUGGGCAGUGGCUAGUGAGUGGAAGGAAAUCUGCUACAAGU